AGAAAAUGUACAAUUCCAAGACAGAGUGAUUAAUUAUGAUUAGUGCAGACAAUGGGUGAUUUCGAAAGCCGAUCGAUUAGACAGACUCGACCCCUCACCAUGUCUGUACAUUGCACUGCUAUUCUUCACUGCCCCACGUUUCCUUCAUCAUUUUUAUGGACCCUCGCCUCGCUAUGUGCUGACAUUUAUUCUCCACUCUCUAUAAUUAAGGUUCAACGAUCUUAUUGCAGCUGGCUAGGGUUCAACCGUUCAUUCUUCAGCAGACUACGUAACUCAAUCCGGGGAUUGUAAUAAUUAAUAUCUAAUUGGUUAGGAGAUAAUUAAAAGAAACUUGACUUGCAAACUCAAGAAUAGGAGAAACUGG
This 364-nucleotide unclassified non-coding RNA is filed under the name Hevea brasiliensis (rubber tree). Lineage: Eukaryota; Viridiplantae; Streptophyta; Magnoliopsida; Malpighiales; Euphorbiaceae. The record is from RNAcentral.